GAGGGAACUCGUUAGAAAUGGGGAAGAAUAGUGUUGAAGACUCUGGAAUGUUUUGGUGAUGACUGGCUAAAAUAGUACGAUGGGAGAAUAAUUUUGCAAUUGGUGAUAUUAUUCCAUUUUAGGGCUUCACUUGAUUAGAGAAUAAAAGCAAAGUGCCAGUUUAAUUUUUUAAAUGACGGCUCCCUUCCGUGUGAGUGGUCAAGUCUGCAUGCUGACUGCUACCUUUAUUUAUUUUGUUGAUUUAGUUUCUCUUUUCUUUUUUAAUGUGGUGCUGGGGAUCAGACCCAGUGCCUCACAUGUGCUAGGCAAGCGCUCUGCCACUGAGCCCCAACUGCAGGCCCUCUGGGUGCCAAUUGUGAAGAGGAGUUGAGCUUGGUCUGGAGGGCUGGAGGUUUAUAUGCUGGGGACAUUCUCUCCCAGCUUGGGGACUUCCACUCACUCUGCCCUUGGUUUUCUCCUUCCUGCCCCUCUUACCCUUUGGAAGUUCCCUGCAUCCAUGUGGGCCACCCCCACUCUCCAGCCAGCAAAACAGACCUCCAUUCCUGGGAGGUCCAUCCCCACUUUCUACCCGGGACAUUGCAGGGGGAGGGAGGCAGGGGGGACACCCCACUACAGAAACCCUGGAACCCUGUUCCCCAAACAGGGAGGUUGUGACUUAUGAGCACACGGGUGUCCCAGGAGGCUCCGGUGGGUUUGAAGUGCCGUGAGUGCUCUUUGGCCUCGCGGAUAGGCACACUUUACACAGAGCAGUCCACCGGUGAGCAAUGAUGACAAAGAAAGGCCAGGCUCUCCCAAAGGUUCUCAAGACACUGUGCCCUGAAAUGUGGCGGAUUUCUGUGCACGGGGACACUUGUGUGAUGUAUAUUUAAGCAUGCUCUCUCUUGUGAUCAUGCAAAAGGCAGAUUCUUCCUUGCUUCUUUUAUUCCUGGAGGAAAGAUGGGAUGCUUUGUAGGCGGCAUUCUUAGUCUUCUGGAUGAUGCAGGGAUUGCAAGAGAAAGGCUCCCGCUGACCCUGCCUUGCUCAGCCAGCAUUUUCCUUCCAGGGGGAGAGGUGCCAGGGACAUAGCACAGCUUAUUUCAGAUGAGAAGGUCUUGUAAGGAUCUGGGAGGAAAUGACCAUGAACAUCCUGACCUGUCAGCCCUGUGGUUUUUGUGGAGCCUGUGUGUGGAAUUUGGAUUCUCCACGGGUGCUGGUGCUGGAUGAUUCCAGGUCUGUUGGCCCCAUCUGGUGUUCAGUAUCCAGUCAACCACAGAACUGCUUGAAAAGUGUGGUUCUUUCCAAAUACAGAUUUGCUCCUUUCAAACAAAAAACAAAACCAACUUUUAAUAGUGAAUUUAGAUUAUAAAUAUGUCCCAGUUCAAUUAAAUUCUUAAGCUACUAGAGGUUCUGCAUACCUAUAAUUCAUCUACCUGUAUGUUAAGUGACAGUGAGUUUUGUACAACAUAGAGGGUAUGUAUACAGCACUCAUCUUUUAAAUUGAAUCAAGAGGGAUUGGAGUUAGAUAUAAAGAAGAACUUUUCCACCGUGCUGUAAGAUUUGUAGCCCAAUGGCUUGAGUGGGAGAUAACAUCUCUUUUGGGGAGCUUUUAACUAAGGGGCUCAGUUGUUGUCCUUGUUUUACUCUGUAGACAACACCCUUGCCUGAAAAGAAAGACUGGAUUCAGCUCAGUGUGUUUCAAAUGUUAACAAGCCACCUUCACAAUUUUUACUAGCUUUGAGUGACACCUUUAGCAAUGUUAAGACAUUUCUUUCAAUUGAUUUAUUCUUUUAAUUUAAGCCUUUAUUCGGCUCAAGCAAUGAAACAUAUUGUAUCAGUGAAAUUGGUUUGAUGGGGCUGGGGGAG
This 1842-nucleotide long non-coding RNA is filed under the name Marmota monax (woodchuck). Lineage: Eukaryota; Metazoa; Chordata; Mammalia; Rodentia; Sciuridae. The record is from RNAcentral.